RNAcentral lists this ribosomal RNA (468 nucleotides) under uncultured bacterium. RNAcentral describes it as "partial 16S ribosomal RNA". It matches the Rfam family "Bacterial small subunit ribosomal RNA", at positions 28 to 507 of the family's 1533-position model. The record is from RNAcentral.
GACGAACGCUGGCGGCGUGCUUAACACAUGCAAGUCGAACGGAAAGGCCCUGCUUUUGUGGGGUGCUCGAGUGGCGAACGGGUGAGUAACACGUGAGUAACCUGCCCUUGACUUUGGGAUGACUUCAGGAAGCUGGGGCUAAUACCGGAUAGGAGCUCCUGCUGCAUGGUGGGGGUUGGAAAGUUUCGGCGGUUGGGGAUGGACUCGCGGCUUAUCAGCUUGUUGGUGGGGUAGUGGCUUACCAAGGCUUUGACGGGUAGCCGGCCUGAGAGGGUGACCGGCCACAUUGGGACUGAGAUACGGCCCAGACUCCUACGGGAGGCAGCAGUGGGGAAUAUUGCACAAUGGGCGGAAGCCUGAUGCAGCAACGCCGCGUGCGGGAUGACGGCCUUCGGGUUGUAAACCGCUUUCGCCUGUGACGAAGCGUGAGUGACGGUAAUGGGUAAAGAAGCACCGGCUAACUACGUG